RNAcentral lists this transfer RNA (82 nucleotides) under Chloroflexota bacterium. Its description in RNAcentral is "Chloroflexi bacterium tRNA-Leu". It matches the Rfam family "tRNA". Rfam says of the family: Transfer RNA (tRNA) molecules are approximately 80 nucleotides in length. Their secondary structure includes four short double-helical elements and three loops (D, anti-codon, and T loops). Further hydrogen bonds mediate the characteristic L-shaped molecular structure. tRNAs have two regions of fundamental functional importance: the anti-codon, which is responsible for specific mRNA codon recognition, and the 3' end, to which the tRNAs corresponding amino acid is attached (by aminoacyl-tRNA synthetases). tRNAs cope with the degeneracy of the genetic code in two manners: having more than one tRNA (with a specific anti-codon) for a particular amino acid; and 'wobble' base-pairing, i.e. permitting non-standard base-pairing at the 3rd anti-codon position. Lineage: Bacteria; Bacillati; Chloroflexota. RNAcentral also lists the same sequence under 1 other name. The record is from RNAcentral.
GCGGGCGUAGCCGAACUGGUAUAGGCGCAUGCCUUAGGAGCAUGUGGGGCAACCCGUGGAGGUUCGAGUCCUCUCGCCCGCA